RNAcentral lists this ribosomal RNA (497 nucleotides) under Hylomyscus walterverheyeni. RNAcentral's name for it is "partial 16S ribosomal RNA". It matches the Rfam family "Bacterial large subunit ribosomal RNA", at positions 1836 to 2557 of the family's 2925-position model. Lineage: Eukaryota; Metazoa; Chordata; Mammalia; Rodentia; Muridae. The record is from RNAcentral.
AUUUCAAGUAUUAGAGGCAUUGCCUGCCCAGUGACUAUAGUUUAACGGCCGCGGUAUCCUGACCGUGCAAAGGUAGCAUAAUCAUUUGUUCCUUAAUUAGGGACUAGUAUGAACGGCUAGACGAGGGAUCAACUGUCUCUUAUUUUUAAUCAGUGAAAUUGACCUUCCAGUGAAGAGGCUGGAAUACAAUAAUAAGACGAGAAGACCCUAUGGAGCUUAAAUUAAUAAGCUUAAUUAUUAUAUCAACACCCUAAUGGCACAAAACAAAAAAUUAUAAGCUUAAAAUUUUGGUUGGGGUGACCUCGGAGAAUAAAAGAUCCUCCGAACGAUGUAUGACAUAGACCUACAAGUCAAAGUAACCCARUUAUCCAAUUGACCCAAMRAUUGAUCAACGGACCAAGUUASCCUAGGGAUAACAGCGCAAUCCUAUUUAAGAGUNCAUAUCCGACAAUAGGGUUUACGACCUCGAUGUUGGAUCAGCACAUCCCAAUGGUGCA